Molecule: transfer RNA, 72 nt
Filed under: Loxodonta africana (African savanna elephant)
Lineage: Eukaryota; Metazoa; Chordata; Mammalia; Proboscidea; Elephantidae
Rfam family: tRNA
About the family: Transfer RNA (tRNA) molecules are approximately 80 nucleotides in length. Their secondary structure includes four short double-helical elements and three loops (D, anti-codon, and T loops). Further hydrogen bonds mediate the characteristic L-shaped molecular structure. tRNAs have two regions of fundamental functional importance: the anti-codon, which is responsible for specific mRNA codon recognition, and the 3' end, to which the tRNAs corresponding amino acid is attached (by aminoacyl-tRNA synthetases). tRNAs cope with the degeneracy of the genetic code in two manners: having more than one tRNA (with a specific anti-codon) for a particular amino acid; and 'wobble' base-pairing, i.e. permitting non-standard base-pairing at the 3rd anti-codon position.
Source: Rfam by way of RNAcentral
GCAUUAGUGGUAUAGUGGUGAGCAUAGCUCCCUUCCAAGCAGUUGACCCAAUUUAGAUUCCUGGCCAAUGCA